AUUCACUUCCAUGUUCCUGCUGGUUCAUAGGAAUAGAAUAAGGUUAAAGCUCUCUCUAGGUUCCUUCUCUGUACUGUAUAUCAUUGCAAAUCAGUAGGAAACACUAUACUGUUCCCGUAUAUUCUUAAACGGUCUCCUCUCCUCCCCCCAACCCCUUGUUUUCUCUCAUAACACCUGAUCCCAAAAGCACGGGAUAGGUGUCUACUACUAUAACAGCCUCCUGCUUUCACCUAUCCCGAUGUGGUCAAGGAGGAAAGGAGCUGAUUAAGACUGUUGGGACACAACACAGGGAGGAACCAUUCCAACCUUUAAACACAUAGUGGUGUCUCAAUAGUCUACUCUAAAGAGGGCUUCCUUCAUUUGCACUGAUGUGAAACAACUGGGUAUAUGAAAGCAACCUCCUUAGUGUGCAUGUAUGUGCCAUGAUUACUUUCACCUAUCGUGUGUUUUCAGAGGAGAGGAGAGGAGCGAGAGAGAGUAGACUAUUGACAUAUAGCUUCCUAGACACUAAUACUCACUGCCAUCCUUCACUGAUGGUCCUAGCCAGCUCAGCCAAUCCGUAUCACCCAUGCAAAUGAGACGGUGGGAGCUGUGCACUGAUUGGAGUUCUCUCUCUCCCCUUUGUCAUCGCCAUGGCAAGAGUUUGGAGACGCUUGGCUGCUGGUCUGUGAGCGAGGGAUCACUCUGCCAAAGGGAGGAGGAGAGGGAGGAGAGAGGGAGGGAGAGAGGAGAGAGAGUAGGGCAGAGUGGGCGGGGAUACAGGGGGAAGUGAAGAGGGGGGAAAGAGGCCGAGAGAGGAAGAGAGAGAGGGAGGUAGAGAGAAAUAGAGAGAGAUUGGGUGAGAGACAGAGAAAUAGAGAGAGGCAUCAUCUCUCUGAUGCUGAGUCACAGACAGGGGGUGCAGCCGCUGUAUCCCAUGAGCCUUUAGGGGAAACAUGGAGGAGCUCGAGCACACCUGCCCCCAGCUGGUCACGAUGCUGACAGAGCCUGCUAUCUUUGCCAAGGACACCAGCUGUGAGUGCCGCGCCCCUCAUGAGAAACUCUCCAUCGCUCAGGCCCGCAGAGGCACCCCAAUGGACCGUCCUGUGCGUGUAUAUGCAGAUGGAAUAUUUGAUCUGUUCCACUCCGGUCAUGCCAGAGCCCUGAUGCAGGCCAAGAACCUCUUCCCCAAUGCAUACCUCAUAGUGGGAGUGUGCAGUGAUGAGCUGACCCACAAGUACAAGGGUUUCACAGUGAUGACGGAGGAUGAGAGGUACGAGGCUCUGAGACACUGUCGCUAUGUGGACGAGGUGGUCCGAGACGCACCAUGGACGCUCACACAGGACUUCCUGGAGAAACACCAGAUCGAUUUUGUGGCUCAUGACGAUAUCCCAUACUCCUCAGCAGGAACUGAGGACGUCUACAAACACAUCAAGGAGGCAGGCAUGUUUGUGCCGACCCAGCGGACGGAGGGUAUCUCGACCUCUGACCUGAUCACUCGUAUCGUACGAGACUACGACCUCUACGCUAGACGCAACCUACAGCGAGGCUACACCGCUAAAGAGCUCAACGUCAGCUUCAUCAACGUAUGUGUGUCUGUCUGUCUACCCUUAACAGAACUGUCGCUUUUGUGUCUGUGUGUACACUUAGAACUGUCAAAAAACACAGACAUACAGUACAGCCAACCUCCCUCCAACCUCCCUCCACCCACCUCCCUCCCUUCAACAUCCCUCCAACCUCCUUCCACCAACCUCCUUCAACCUCCCUCCCUUCAACCUCCCUCCAACCUCCUUCCACCAACCUCCCUCCCUUCAACAUUCCUCCAAUCUCCUUCCAACCUCCUUCCACCAACCUCCCUCCCUUCAACAUUCCUCCAACCUCCUUCCAACCUCCCUCCACCAACCUCCCUCCCUUCAACAUCCCUCCAACCUCCUUCCAACCUCCCUCCCUUCAACAUCCCUCCAACCUCCUUCCACCAACCUCCUUCAACCUCCCUCCCUUCAACCUCCCUCCAACCUCCUUCCACCAACCUCCCUCCCUUCAACCUCCCUCCAACCUCCUUCCACCAAACUCCCUCCCUUCAACAUUCCUCCAACCUCCUUCCAACCUCCUUCCACCAACCUCCCUCCCUUCAACAUUCCUCCAACCUCUUUCCAACUUCCUCCACCCUCCUCUCUUCAACCUCCCUCUCUUCAACCGCCCUCUCUUCAACCUCCCUCUCUUCAACCUCCCUCUCUUCAACCUCCCUCUCUUCAACCACCCUCUCUUCAACCGCCCUCUAACCUUCCUCAGGAGAAGAAGUACCGCCUGCAGAACCAGGUGGACCGUAUGAAGGAGGCAACAUUUCUCCAACCUUCCUACAACCUUCCUACAACCUCCCUCCAACAGUCCUACAACCUUCCUCCACCCUCCGCCCAACCUUCCUCCAAUCUCCCCCCAAGCUCCCUCCAACCUUCCUCUAACCUUCCGUUCACCCCCAACCUCCCUCCAACCUUCCUCUAACCUUCUGUUCACCCCCAACCUCCCUCCAACCUGUUGAUCAUAUCACUCCAUUUUACGUCCUCCCUUUUCUACAUCCUUUCUUUUAGUUUAUCUCAACUAGGGUGAACAUGAUAGGAGAUAUUGUACAGCGAUCGACUGCAGUGUGACUUUUUGCAGUGUGGCAUCCAGUGAGCAGGCCUACACUGUUACAGAGCUCUCCAGAUAGAGACUGACUUCAUGGACAAACAGACACAGUUCUCUAUGCUUAUAGAAUAAUACAAUAGACUGUGUCUGCUCUAUGCAUUCUGUUUCUACCUGCAUCAUUCUGUAACAUGGUGCCUGCUGACUGACUGUGCCCUAGUGGAGACUUAACAGAGUGUAGCUGCAUCCUUCCUGGGAGACGAGGAAAGAUGGCUACUUAAGACUAUUGAAAUGCACCCCGUUGCCAUAGCGACUGCAUAAAUGAAUGGAAGUUACAUCAUUUCAACAAUGGUAACACCAAGGAAUUCAGCUCCCUCCAACUCCCUCCCUCCCUCCAACAUUUCUCCAACCUCCUCCCAACCUUCCUCAACAUCUCUCCAACCUCCCUUCAACUUUCCUCCAACCUUCCUGCCUCCCUCCCUUCAAUUUUCCUCCAACCUCCCUCCAACUUCUUCCAACCUCGCUCCCUCCAAGCUCCCUCCAACAUUCCUCCAUCUUCUCCCAACCUCCAACCUUCCCCAACCUCCCUCCAACCUCCAUCCAACCUCCAUCCAACCUUCCUCAGGAGAAGAAGUACUGCCUGCAGAACCAGGUGGACCGUAUGAAGGAGAAGGUGAAGACGGUGGAGGAGAAGAGUAAACACUUUGUCUGCCGCGUGGAGGAGAAGAGCCAUGACCUCAUACAGAAGUGGGAGGAGAAAUCACGGGAGUUCAUUGGUAACUUCCUGGAACUGUUCGGCCCAGAUGGAACAUGGAAACAGGUGUUUAGUGAGCGUAGUGGUCGGAUGAUCUCCUACGCCAUGUCACCUCGCGGGUCACCUAGCAACAGUCCACCCAGGCAACUGUCUCCAUCCCGUUCCCCAUCUCCUCCCUUUUGCUGGCCUCGGCCCAGGCCAGCCUCCCCCUCCUCACCCAAAGAGGCCUCAGCCUCCUUCAGUAGCAUGAGUGAAGAAGAUGAGAACGACAAGUAGUGCCCUGGACUGUGGAACACAUGCCAUGUUCAAAACAACUGGGAAGUCGGAAAUCUUUGACUUCCAACUUUAGUCAAUUCAAGACCAUUUAGAACGUGGAAAAAACGAGCUCCGACUGGUGAAAUCGUUUUCAACAGUAAACUAACUCGGAAUUCCAAAUCGGAAACUCUGACAUCUUUCUAGAACUCCAACCUGAAGAUCCCCCCCCCCCCCCACACACCUGAAAGUUGUGAGUUCGAGCCAGCAGUCACAGAUGGCUCGAACUCACAACUUCCACACACUGACAGCAAUGACGGGAUGCUGAAACUAUAUUUUCCAGGAAGUAGAUAUGCAAGACAGAGGUGGGUCAUGGGAAAUGUAGUCUAGUGCUACAGCACAAAGAAGCCAUCACAGUCUCUGUUGCCUGGGCAAUGAAGCAGAUGGGAGUGUAGAGAAGAUGAUGCGACUGAUCUGUUUUCGACUGCUCAGGUCUGACAGAGGCAGUAAAUAAAAUAGUGCCUGUUGAUCAUAUCACUUCAUCCUUUUAUGUCCUCCCUUUUUCUCUAUCCUUUCUUUUUUUAAUCUCAUUGUGAGAACAACUAGGGUGAACAUGAUAGGAGAUAUUGUACAGCAAUCGACUGCAGUGUGACUUUUUGCAGUGUGACAUCCAGUGAGCAGGCCUACACUGUUACAGAGCUCUCCAGAUAGAGACUGACUUCAUAGACAAACAGACACAGUUCUCUAUGCUUAUAGAAUAAUAUAAUAGACUGUGUCUGCCCUAUGCAUUCUGUUUCUACCUGCAUCAUUCUGUAACAUGGUGCCUGCUGACUGACUGACUGCCCUAGUGGAGACUUAACAGAGAGAAACACUGCCCUCUAGAGGAGUUGUAGUGUAGCUGCAUCCUUCCUGGUAGACGAGGAGAGAUGGCUACUUAAGACUAUUGAAAUGCACCCCACUGAAUCAUUAAUUUUCCAUAGGGAAUGCAUAAAUUAUGUAUGUAACACAUUUUUUGGGGGGGGGGGGGGGCAGGUAGGUUAGCAGUUAAGAGUGUUGGGGGCCUGUAACUGAAAUGUCGCUGGUUCGAAUCCUCGAGUUCACUAUGUGAAACCUCGAGCUGGCGAGGUGAAACAUCUGUUGAUGUGCCCUUGAGCUAGGUACUGAACCCUAAUUGUUCUGGAUAAGAGCGUCUGCUAAAUUACUCAACAAUGGUAACACCAUGGAACUCAGUACCUGAUUGGUGAUUGCAUAAUUAACAGAACACUUGGAACUUCAGUAUCAGGGAGGUUUGUCUCCCCACCUUUCCCAAUGUGGCCGCCUGCCCGGCCCAUCUCUUGUAAACAGCUACAGAAACUGAUCUAGCAAUUCAGUAGCAUUUAGAAUGUACAAUUGGGACUGAGCUUAUUCCGGGACCUUCCUUAGAGACCAGAGAACAAAGGUUAUAAUCCCAGUAUGGCCAGUGUUAUCCACAAAGGCCUGGCGUGGCCAUAGAAUCAGGUGGCUGGAACAAAAACCAGUACCGGCCAUUUGUGGAUUGGCUUGUUCACCUCUGCUGUGGUAGAAUCAAGAUGGUCUCAGGCCUAGCUAGUCACAACACCACACAGAACUGUGAACUCUUCAACUCAAUGUCUCUCGCUAUGACACAACUGUUCCACAGCAGAAAGCCACAUGAACACACUUGCUACCACACAACUCCUGAUCCGCCUUAGAGAGGUUCUUGUCCUGUAUGUAACCUAUGUAACCCUGCACUGUAUGGACAAACUUUGGAAUGUCUGUUUCUGUUUGUUAUGUUCUUGUUUUAUAAUGGCUUCAUAUGUAAAUAAAUAGAAAAGGAAAAUCAUUGAAUGAGAA
Oncorhynchus kisutch (coho salmon) is the source of this 5458-nucleotide RNA transcript. It is a transcript of the gene named choline-phosphate cytidylyltransferase B-like, with no coding region annotated. Lineage: Eukaryota; Metazoa; Chordata; Actinopteri; Salmoniformes; Salmonidae. The transcript is spliced from 7 exons. The record is from RefSeq and is a predicted model, not a curated record.